UUUCGUUCACCCUUAACUGGGCGCAGUUCGAGCUAUACCAAGGAACGGGGGAUAGC
This 56-nucleotide non-coding RNA is filed under the name unclassified sequences. RNAcentral describes it as "Glutamine-II sequence". It matches the Rfam family "Glutamine-II riboswitch aptamer". From Rfam's summary of the family: The major groove of the PK provides the binding site for L-glutamine RNAcentral also lists the same sequence under 1 other name. The record is from RNAcentral.